GACGAACGCUGGCGGCGUGCUUAACACAUGCAAGUCGAACGAAGUGGCGAACGGGUGAGUAACGCGUAAUCAACUUGCCCUUCAGAGGGGGACAACAGUUGGAAACGACUGCUAAUCCCGCAUAUGGAUGGAGGGGAGUGGGUCUGAUUAGGUAGUUGGGGGGGUAACGGCCCACCAAGGCGAGGAUCAGGAGGCGGGCCGGGGGGGGGAACGGCCACAUGGGGACCGGAGCCCGGGCCAGACUCCUUCGGGAGGGAAGAGUGGGGGAUCUUUCGGAAAGGACGGAAGGCUGGCGGAGCAAAGCCGCGUUGGUGAUGACGGGCUUCGGGUUGUAAAGCUCUGUUAAUCGGGAAGCGGUACCGGAAUAGAAAGCCACGGAUAACUACGUGCCAGCAGCCGCGGUAAUUC
RNAcentral lists this ribosomal RNA (408 nucleotides) under uncultured bacterium. RNAcentral's name for it is "partial 16S ribosomal RNA". It matches the Rfam family "Bacterial small subunit ribosomal RNA", at positions 28 to 526 of the family's 1533-position model. The record is from RNAcentral.